This is an RNA transcript of Daphnia carinata, 960 nucleotides long. It is a transcript of the gene named serine/threonine-protein kinase 19-like, with no coding region annotated. The transcript is spliced from 5 exons. NCBI's taxonomy places the organism in Eukaryota, Metazoa, Arthropoda, Branchiopoda, Diplostraca, Daphniidae. The record is from RefSeq and is a predicted model, not a curated record.
UGACAGCGCUCUGCGUACAAACUGGGCACAAACUUCGCUUAACUGUUAUUAUCAGGUUUUUCGGCGCAUUAGUUAUUCCAUGAGCAAACGCAAAACUGAGGUUGGUAAACUCUCCCUUUCCAGUCCCGAAAAGCAGCAAUGCAUCGCAAAAGACGUUCGCCAAUCGGAGGAAGCUCUACGUCAGUUGUCGAUGUUAUUUCCUGAGGAAAAAUUUCUCGGUCGCGUUCCAAGAGUGGUAAUGAAACACAUGAUCUACAGCCGUAUACCAAAUCGGACAUUGGUCGACAAGGAAAUUGAUGAAUUAAACCAAACUGGAGUCAUCAGAUUGUUUAAACUAGGAAGUGAAGAGGAAUCUCUGGCGGUCCUGUUCAUGGAACAGUAUGAAGAGCUUAUUGAAAGAAAAUGUACAGAUUUAGCAUUAGCUAAGAAAUUUAUCAUCAAGAUUCUUAAGCAAAUCAAAGAAAUCAGUGUAGAGAAAGCAGUACUUAUCAGUGCUGGUUUUACUGAAACUGAUAUUAAGUUGAACUAUAAUAAAUAAUUGCCUGUUAACUGUGAGGACAAGUACCACAUAUUGGUUUGCUUUUCCUGGAGCUGGAGAAUUCAUGAAAGUGUAUGCCAAGGGAAGGCAAAAUGUAAUCCGCUUGGUCAAGAAGUCCAAGUAUCAGCAAAUUUUACAAAAUGAACUAGGACAGCGUGAUAUGAGGAAGACUGUUCAGCUUGGUGUACAGUAUCAUAUUCAUGACAUUAUUGGAGCUGACUUAGUUAUUUGUGUGAACACUACUUCUGGUAACAUGUUACGAUUUUCCAAUUGAAACAGUCUGAGAUAUCUCUGGGUGCCUAAAGAAUGAGUGCGGCAAACGCAUCAUACAUAAUGUUUACGGCGAAAUCCUAUUUUCUACCGAUUUGUUUUCAUAUAAUUUUUUCAAAACAAGUAUUAAUACAGUAUCAACCUUCCUCACA